CAAAUAAAAAAGAAAUUCACAUGAUACAAAAUCAAGGAUGAUGGAGAAAUUGAUAUCUUUCCUAUGGAGGACUUGUCAUGCUUUUCAAAUAUAAUAAUAUUCCAACACCCCCUCAAGCUGGAGGAUAUAUGUCAUAUGUACCAAGCUUGUUACAUAUGUAGCUGAUUCGAGGAUCUCUGAGUGAUUUAGUGAAUAUAUCUGCUAGUUGGUCAUUUGAGUUAACAAAACUAGUAGCAAUGCUUCCCGAAAGAACUUUUCUUUGAUAAAGUAACAGCUGAUUUCUAUAUGUUUAGUCCUCUCAUGAAAAAUUAGAUUGGAAGCAAUAUGCAGGGCU
Molecule: long non-coding RNA, 334 nt
Filed under: Elaeis guineensis (African oil palm)
Lineage: Eukaryota; Viridiplantae; Streptophyta; Magnoliopsida; Arecales; Arecaceae
Description: long non-coding RNA (EGUI_LNC073812)
Source: RNAcentral